Non-coding RNA from Gallus gallus (chicken), 44 nucleotides. Lineage: Eukaryota; Metazoa; Chordata; Aves; Galliformes; Phasianidae. The record is from Rfam.
CAUAAGGCUCUUCUCAGAGCCCUUAAUUCAGUAUGAAUUGAUAU